CGGACCUGACUUCUAUCGGAUUGAUACUAAGCCAUGAGAGUUUUUGUAGCAAUACAAGGCAGACGGCUCAGUAACACGUAGUCAAUCUAACCUAUGGAUGAGGAUAACCUCGGGAAACUGAGAAUAAUACUCAAUAGAUCAUUAUACCUGGAACGGUUUAUGGUUCAAAUGACUUUCGCCAUAGGGUGAGACUGCGGUCUAUCAGCUUGUUGGUGAGGUAUGGCCCACCAAGGCUAUAACAGAUACGGGCUUUGAGAGGAGAAGCCCGGAGAUGGGUAUUAAGACACGGACCCAGGCCCUAUGGGGCGCAGCAGGCGAGAAAACUUUGCAAUGUGCGAAAGCACGACAAGGUUAAUCCGAGUGAUUCCUGCUAAAGGAAUCUUUUGUUAGUCAUAAUACCACUGAUGAAUAAGGGGUGGGCAAGUUCUGGUGUCAGCCGCCGCGGUAAAACCAGCACCUCAAGUGGUCAGGAGGAUUAUUGGGCCUAAAGCAUCCGUAGCCUGCUCUGUAAGUUUUCGGUUAAAUUUAUAUGCUCAACAUAUAGGCUGCCGGAAAUACUGCAGAGCUAGGAAGUGGGAGAGGUAGACGGUACUCCGUAGGAAGGGGUAAAAUCCUUUGAUCUAUGGAUGACCACCUGUGGCGAAGGCGGUCUACCAGAACACGUUCGACGGUGAGGGAUGAAAGCUGGGGGAGCAAACCGGAUUAGAUACCCGGGUAGUCCCAGCUGUAAACUAUGCAGACUCGGUGAUGCAUUGGCUUGUGGCCAGUGCAGUGCCGCAGGGAAGCCGUUAAGUUUGCCGCCUGGGAAGUACGUACGCAAGUAUGAAACUUAAAGGAAUUGGCGGGGGAGCAC
This 853-nucleotide ribosomal RNA is filed under the name uncultured archaeon. RNAcentral describes it as "bacterial SSU rRNA". It matches the Rfam family "Archaeal small subunit ribosomal RNA", at positions 18 to 879 of the family's 1478-position model. The record is from RNAcentral.